AUUGAACGCUGGCGGCAGGCCUAACACAUGCAAGUCGAACGGUAACAGGAAGAAGCUUGCUUCUUUGCUGACGAGUGGCGGACGGGUGAGUAAUGUCUGGGAAACUGCCUGAUGGAGGGGGAUAACUACUGGAAACGGUAGCUAAUACCGCAUAACGUCGCAAGACCAAAGAGGGGGACCUUCGGGCCUCUUUCCAUCGGAUGUGCCCAGAUGGGAUUAGCUAGUAGGUGGGGUAACGGCUCACCUAGGCGACGAUCCCUAGCUGGUCUGAGAGGAUGACCAGCCACACUGGAACUGAGACACGGUCCAGACUCCUACGGGAGGCAGCAGUGGGGAAUAUUGCACAAUGGGCGCAAGCCUGAUGCAGCCAUGCCGCGUGUAUGAAGAAGGCCUUCGGGUUGUAAAGUACUUUCAGCGGGGAGGAAGGGAGUAAAGUUAAUACCUUUACUCAUUGACGUUACCCGAAGAAGAAGCACCGGCUAACUCCGG
Molecule: ribosomal RNA, 489 nt
Filed under: uncultured bacterium
Lineage: Bacteria
Description: partial 16S ribosomal RNA
Rfam family: Bacterial small subunit ribosomal RNA
Source: RNAcentral